UCACGCGGUUGGGAAGAGAUGCGCGGUAGCCACCGUCAAACGGUAUUUCCACCAUGCGGACACAAUAGAUGUAAACCACCCAGCGAACAAAGAUAACAGUAAAAGGUAGCAAAUAAUUAGGAAGUGAUCAGUUGUAAGUAAUUCUUGCCUUUGUUUUUAAUAUAAUUUAUUAAAUUGUAAAUUUAAAUAUUUUAAUUUUUUUUUUUUUUUUUGAGACAGCGUCUCAAUCUGUCACCCAGGCUGCAGUGCAGUGGCAUGGUCACAGCUCACUGCAAUCUUGAACUGCUGGACUCAAGGGAUUCUCCCACCUCGCCCUUACCAGUAGCUGGGACUACAGGAUGACGUAGCACAAACGCCCUUGAUACAUGGGGGCCCCUCGACCUCAGACUUCCCAGCCUCCAGAAUGGCCAUGGCUUUGAAUGUGGCGUGUGGGAUCUCUGGCGGGUCAUCGUCACAGAGCUCUGCAAAGCAAAAGAAGCCUAUUAGGAACUCAAGAGGCCCCAGAUCCAGAUGUUCACGGCACCAAGCAAGAUACGUAU
This 539-nucleotide long non-coding RNA is filed under the name Homo sapiens (human). Its description in RNAcentral is "HSALNT0158295". Lineage: Eukaryota; Metazoa; Chordata; Mammalia; Primates; Hominidae. The record is from RNAcentral.